RNAcentral lists this unclassified non-coding RNA (218 nucleotides) under Glomus sp. Its description in RNAcentral is "partial contains 5.8S ribosomal RNA and internal transcribed spacer 2". The stretch from base 1 to 65 matches the Rfam family "5.8S ribosomal RNA", at positions 84 to 154 of the family's 154-position model. The record is from RNAcentral. Lineage: Eukaryota; Fungi; Glomeromycota; Glomeromycetes; Glomerales; Glomeraceae.
GUGAAUCAUCGAAUUUUUGAACGCAAAUUGCACUCUCCUCGGUGAGUAUGCCUGUUUGAGGGUCAGCCUAUAUAAAAUCGACAUCGUCGCUGUUUCGCGGUGGCGUUCGUCGGAAAUUGGGUCAUCUUAAAUCCUUUUGAUUUAAGCGACUUACAAUUUUCUUUUGGUUCCAUGUACGCUUCUAUGAUCUAUUUCUUUACACGUUUACGCAUGCGUUU